AGUCGAACGGUAACAGGAAGCAGCUUGCUGCUUUGCUGACGAGUGGCGGACGGGUGAGUAAUGUCUGGGAAACUGCCUGAUGGAGGGGGAUAACUACUGGAAACGGUAGCUAAUACCGCAUAACGUCGCAAGACCAAAGAGGGGGACCUUCGGGCCUCUUGCCAUCGGAUGUGCCCAGAUGGGAUUAGCUAGUAGGUGGGGUAAAGGCUCACCUAGGCGACGAUCCCUAGCUGGUCUGAGAGGAUGACCAGCCACACUGGAACUGAGACACGGUCCAGACUCCUACGGGAGGCAGCAGUGGGGAAUAUUGCACAAUGGGCGCAAGCCUGAUGCAGCCAUGCCGCGUGUAUGAAGAAGGCCUUCGGGUUGUAAAGUACUUUCAGCGGGGAGGAAGGGAGUAAAGUUAAUACCUUUGCUCAUUGACGUUACCCGCAGAAGAAGCACCGGCUAACUCCGUGCCAGCAGCCGCGGUAAUACGGAGGGUGCAAGCGUUAAUCGGAAUUACUGGGCGUAAAGCGCACGCAGGCGGUUUGUUAAGUCAGAUGUGAAAUCCCCGGGCUCAACCUGGGAACUGCAUUUGAUACUGGCAAGCUUGAGUCUCGUAGAGGGGGGUAGAAUUCCAGGUGUAGCGGUGAAAUGCGUAGAGAUCUGG
RNAcentral lists this ribosomal RNA (652 nucleotides) under uncultured Pseudomonadota bacterium. Its description in RNAcentral is "bacterial SSU rRNA". It matches the Rfam family "Bacterial small subunit ribosomal RNA", at positions 60 to 701 of the family's 1533-position model. Lineage: Bacteria; Pseudomonadati; Pseudomonadota. The record is from RNAcentral.